RNAcentral lists this ribosomal RNA (550 nucleotides) under uncultured bacterium. Its description in RNAcentral is "bacterial SSU rRNA". It matches the Rfam family "Bacterial small subunit ribosomal RNA", at positions 85 to 647 of the family's 1533-position model. The record is from RNAcentral.
GCAUAUCCUAGUGGCGAACGGGUGAGUAACGCGUGAGCAACCUGCCUUGUACAACGGGAUACCCGAGGGAAACUUCGGUUAAUACGGUAUAAGACCACACUACCGCAUGGUAGAGGGGUAAAAGGAGAAAUCCGGUAUAAGAUGGGCUCGCGUCGCAUUAGCUAGUUGGUAAGGUAACGGCUUACCAAGGCGACGAUGCGUAGCCGACCUGAGAGGGUGAUCGGCCACAUUGGGACUGAGAUACGGCCCAGACUCCUACGGGAGGCAGCAGUGGGGAAUAUUGGGCAAUGGAGGAAACUCUGACCCAGCAAUGCCGCGUGAAUGAAGAAGGUCUUCGGAUUGUAAAGUUCUUUAGUUAGGGAAGAAUGUAAUGACGGUACCUAAAGAAUAAGCCCCGGCUAACUACGUGCCAGCAGCCGCGGUAAUACGUAGGGGGCAAGCGUUGUUCGGAAUGACUGGGCGUAAAGGGUGCGUAGGCGGUAGUACAAGUUAGAAGUGAAAUACCCAGGGCUUAACUCGGGUGCUGCUUCUAAAACUGUACGACUUGAGU